GAUGAAGAACGUAGUGAAAUGCGAUACUUGGUGUGAAUUGCAGAAUCCCGUGAACCAUCGAGUCUUUGAACGCAAGUUGCGCCCGAAGCCAUCAGGUUGAGGGCACGUCUGCCUGGGCGUCACAUAUCGUUGCCCAAUGCCUAUUGCAGUGCAAUAGGAAUUUCUAGGGCGAAUGAUGGCUUCCCGUGAGCGUUGUUGCCUCGCGGUUGGUUGAAAAUCGAGUCCUUGGUAGGGUGUGCCAUGGUAGAUGGUGGUCGAGUUAGAACGAUACCGAUCAUGUGCAUGCUCCCCAAAAUAUGGCCUCUAUGACCCACACGCGUCUUUUGACGCUCAUGACGAGACCGCAGGUCAGGCGGGGCUACCCGCUGAAUUUAAGCAUAUCAAUAAGCGGAGGA
RNAcentral lists this unclassified non-coding RNA (395 nucleotides) under soil metagenome. Its description in RNAcentral is "partial contains 5.8S ribosomal RNA, internal transcribed spacer 2, and large subunit ribosomal RNA". The stretch from base 1 to 122 matches the Rfam family "5.8S ribosomal RNA", at positions 35 to 154 of the family's 154-position model. The record is from RNAcentral.